GGGUAUAGCUCAGUGGUAGAACACUUGCCUAGCAUGUGCAAGGCCCUGAGUUCCAUCCCCAGCACCCA
This 68-nucleotide transfer RNA is filed under the name Marmota monax (woodchuck). RNAcentral describes it as "tRNA.Ala". The record is from RNAcentral. Lineage: Eukaryota; Metazoa; Chordata; Mammalia; Rodentia; Sciuridae.